This 288-nucleotide long non-coding RNA is filed under the name Hordeum vulgare. Its description in RNAcentral is "long non-coding RNA (HVUL_LNC007099)". The record is from RNAcentral. Lineage: Eukaryota; Viridiplantae; Streptophyta; Magnoliopsida; Poales; Poaceae.
GAAGAAAUGUCUUACACAUUGAAUGCUGGAGCGUUGAGUUUGGCCACUUAUUUUUUGAGCCCCAACCCACAAAUCCUUGUUGGAUAGCACAUAGAGAUCUGACGAUUCAGUGAAUCCUUGUAGUCAGCAUAUACAAGAACCAUAAUGUCAUGGGAUAUAUCAUCCAAGUUAUCGAGCACUUCCAUUCAUCUUGACAACGAUUGUUGCCCAUGUGCGGCUGUGCCAUUGUUUAUUCCACUGCUUUUUUCCUUCAAGCUAAACUCUGCUCUCUUGAGAUCAACCCCUCCC